Molecule: RNA transcript, 1221 nt
Organism: Vigna angularis (adzuki bean)
Lineage: Eukaryota; Viridiplantae; Streptophyta; Magnoliopsida; Fabales; Fabaceae
Gene name: cell division cycle 20.2, cofactor of APC complex-like
Exons: 4
Source: RefSeq, a predicted model, not a curated record
UCAGUUAAUUCUAAAUAAUUGACUGAAUCCACUUAUUUAUAACAUUACAAUUAGGUUCUUCACUUAUUUCACUAAAUAUUAACCAUGAUUAAUUGCAAUAUUAGGUCUUAUUUCACUAAAUAUUAACCAUGAUUAAUUACAAUAUUAGGUUCUUCACUCACUACAAAAAUAAAACAUUUCACUCACUACAAAAAUAAAGGUGAGGUUUGUUUAUAGGGGUUCUAAAAACCUCUUCUAACAGUCAAGUUUUCUAACUAUCAAAACCGCAGUCAAGUUAUAAGAGUUUCAGGAGUUUCUUUAUCAAACUAUCGAAACUGUACAAAAUAUUUGUACAAAAUAUACUUUUCAAGCCAAAGCCGCGCUUCCAGAGCUUUGUUUUCUACUUAUCGCGUCUCAACUUCUUCAAGCAUUAGGAGUUCUCCGAUGACGGUUUUGAAGAGCUUAUGAUUUGCACGUGUCGCCAUUUCCAUCUUCCCAAACUUCGUGUCUUUCCGUUUUUAUUUUCACAGUCUUUUCGUCUCGGCUUUUCCAUCUCACAAUCCUUCGUCACUUUACAAUUCCUAAUUCCCUUAUCUUUUCCUGUUUCAAAUCCUUAAUUCCAAAAAUCUAGAGCUCGUAGAUCUUGUGAUUGACGUUUUUGAAGAGUUUGGGAGUGAGUCGCACAAGGUGGAAUUAGUCGUUGACUGGAACCACCUCCUUCUUUACGGCCUCCUCGACGGUGUUUUAAGAUUUAUCUGAACUUGUGAAUGCUGAAGGCUAUAGUCAAUCGAUACACUCAGUAGCAGAGUUUACACUAAAAUCUUUGCAUUCUUGGAAGGUUUGCAGAUUAGAAUGGAAUAGACAUCAUAAGGAGGUAUUAAGUGGUCAUGGAUUCAGCACAAGUGCACAUCACAAUCAACUUUGUUUGUGGAGAUAUCCAUCUAUGACUAAAGUGCGUGCCUUGGAACGUCACACUUCUAGAGUACUUGAUAUAUGUCAGAGUCCAGAUGGUUUAAUAGUUGUGUCAACUGGAGUAGAUGAAACUCUUCGCUUUUGGAAUGUAUUUGGGCCACCUGUAAGUAAUAACUAUGAGACAGAUCUGGAUAACCUUUUGUCUCUCAAGGUUUCUCCAAUAAGGUGAUGGAAACAGAGACAAUUUUCUUCAUUCAUGGUUAUGUUUUGUGUAAAUAGUAACGUUGACAUUGGUCUUAAUACAUUAGCAUUUUUUUAAUUUAACGUUAC